CCCUUAGAUGUUCUGGGCCGCACGAGCGCUACACUGACGAAUGCAACGAGCUUAUAACCUUGGCCGAAAGGUCUGGGUAAUCUCCAAAUUUCGUCGUGAUGGGGAUAGAUUAUUGCAAUUAUUAAUCUUCAACGAGGAAUGCCUAGUAAGCGCAAGUCAUCAGCUUGCGUUGAUUACGUCCCUGCCCUUUGUACACACCGCCCGUCGCUCCUACCGAUUGAAUGGUCCGGUGAAGCGUUCGGACCGUGGCCUUUGGACGGUUCGCCGUCUGUUGGCUGCGGGAAGUUCGUUAAACCUUAUCAUUUAGAGGAAGGAGAAGUCGUAACA
This 327-nucleotide ribosomal RNA is filed under the name uncultured eukaryote. Its description in RNAcentral is "partial 18S ribosomal RNA". It matches the Rfam family "Eukaryotic small subunit ribosomal RNA", at positions 1470 to 1796 of the family's 1831-position model. The record is from RNAcentral.